ACAAACCGGAGGAAGUGGGGAUGACGUCAAGUCCUCAUGGCCCUUAUGGUAGGGCUUCGCACGUCAUACAAUGGUACAUACAGAGGGCUGCUAAAUCGUGAGAUGGAGCCAAUCCCAGAAAGUGUAUCGUAGUCCGGAUUGAAGUCUGCAACUCGACUUCAUGAAGUUGGAAUCGCUAGUAAUCGCGGAUCAGCAUGUCGCGGUGAAUACGUUCCCGGGUCUU
This 223-nucleotide ribosomal RNA is filed under the name uncultured Oxalobacteraceae bacterium. Its description in RNAcentral is "partial 16S ribosomal RNA". It matches the Rfam family "Bacterial small subunit ribosomal RNA", at positions 1158 to 1382 of the family's 1533-position model. The record is from RNAcentral. Lineage: Bacteria; Pseudomonadati; Pseudomonadota; Betaproteobacteria; Burkholderiales; Oxalobacteraceae.